RNAcentral lists this unclassified non-coding RNA (250 nucleotides) under plant metagenome. RNAcentral describes it as "partial contains small subunit ribosomal RNA, internal transcribed spacer 1, and 5.8S ribosomal RNA". The record is from RNAcentral.
GUAGGUGAACCUGCGGAAGGAUCAUUAAUGAAUUUAAAAUAUAAGGGGAGCUGCUGCUGGCCGUCCUUCAGGGGGCGUCAUGUGCACGCUCUUCUUUUAUUCGUUCAUCUCACACCCGUGCACCUUUUGUAGGUCCGAGCGAUCGGCCUAUGUACCUUUUUUUAUUUACACCCCACAAAAGUAAACCGAAUGUCAUAAAUAAACGGACGAGAGUCCUUUAAUUUAAAAACUUAUACAACUUUCAACAACG